RNAcentral lists this unclassified non-coding RNA (400 nucleotides) under Athalia rosae (coleseed sawfly). Its description in RNAcentral is "misc RNA ENSAEAG00005008541.1". Lineage: Eukaryota; Metazoa; Arthropoda; Insecta; Hymenoptera; Athaliidae. The record is from RNAcentral.
UUCUUAACAGCUCGUUUGGAUUCGCCGGUUGAAGUUUUUACAGUGACUACUCUCACGACACCGUCGGUUCCUGGAUGCACCUGUACUACUAUUCCUAAUGCCCAAUGCAGCGGUGCUGUGUUGUCAUCAACCAGCAAUACUAAGGUUCAUUAGGUGAGACCCCUAUAAGGAAGUGAGAAGGUGUUAAAGGAGAUAGAUCGUGAGGGUCGGAAGAAAGAGGAGUCAAGGGCCUGGAAUUUAAAACUGCUUCAAUUUCUACCAGGAGCGUAUAAUACUCUUCAUUUGGACCUGGCAGGAGCCCAUCAUUUAGAGAAGUUUGGAGCGAUAUCUUCGCCGAUCCAUCGAAAACAACUCUAACCUUUGUCGUAGAGCUUUCAGCCCUUAUGACAGGAUGAUGUGG